This 420-nucleotide ribosomal RNA is filed under the name uncultured bacterium. Its description in RNAcentral is "bacterial SSU rRNA". It matches the Rfam family "Bacterial small subunit ribosomal RNA", at positions 356 to 773 of the family's 1533-position model. The record is from RNAcentral.
GAGGAAUAUUGGACAAUGGAUGGAAAUCUGACCCAGCCAUGCCGCGUGCAGGAAGACGGCCUUAUGGGUUGUAAACUGCUUUUAUCAGGGAAUAAACCCUUGUUUGUAAACAAGGCUGAAGGUACCUGAAGAAUAAGCAUCGGCUAACUCCGUGCCAGCAGCCGCGGUAAUACGGAGGAUGCAAGCGUUAUCCGGAUUCAUUGGGUUUAAAGGGUGCGCAGGCGGGCUAAUAAGUCAGGGGUGAAAUACUACGGCUCAACCGUGGAACUGCCUUUGAUACUGUUAGUCUUGAGUAUAGUUGAAGUGGGCGGAAUGUAGCAUGUAGCGGUGAAAUGCAUAGAGAUGCUACAGAACACCGAUAGCGAAGGCAGCUCACUAAGUUAGUACUGACGCUCAUGCACGAAAGCGUGGGGAUCAAAC